CCCUUAGAUGUUCUGGGCCGCACGCGCGCUACACUGAUGCAUUCAACGAGUUUCUUCCUGGUCCGAGAGGAAUGGGUAACCUUUUGAAAGUGCAUCGUGAUAGGGAUAGACUAUUGCAAUUAUUGGUCUUCAACGAGGAAUUCCUAGUAGACGUAGUUCAUCAGACUGCAUCGAUUACGUCCCUGCCCUUUGUACACACCGUCCGUCGCUCCUACCGAUUGAGUGCUCAGGUGAGCCAUUCGGACUUUCAUCAUGCUGGUUUCCAGUUUUGAUGAAGGAAAGUCUUGCGAACCUUAUCAUUUAGAGGAAGGAGAAGUCGUAACA
RNAcentral lists this ribosomal RNA (324 nucleotides) under uncultured eukaryote. Its description in RNAcentral is "partial 18S ribosomal RNA". It matches the Rfam family "Eukaryotic small subunit ribosomal RNA", at positions 1470 to 1796 of the family's 1831-position model. The record is from RNAcentral.